RNAcentral lists this ribosomal RNA (470 nucleotides) under uncultured bacterium. RNAcentral describes it as "bacterial SSU rRNA". It matches the Rfam family "Bacterial small subunit ribosomal RNA", at positions 31 to 507 of the family's 1533-position model. The record is from RNAcentral.
GAGAACGCUGGCGGCGUGCCUAACACAUGCAAGUCGAGCGAAUGAAGUUCCUUCGGUUGAUUUCUAUGAAAGUCGAGUGGCGGACGGGUGAGUAACACGUGGGUAACCUGCCUUACAGAGGGGGAUAACAGUUUGAAAAGACUGCUAAUACCGCAUAAGCACACAGUACCGCAUGGUACGGGGUGAAAAGAUUUAUCGCUGUAAGAUGGACCCGCGUCUGAUUAGCUAGUUGGCAGGGUAACGGCCUACCAAGGCGACGAUCAGUAGCCGACCUGAGAGGGUGAUCGGCCACAUUGGGACUGAGACACGGCCCAAACUCCUACGGGAGGCAGCAGUGGGGGAUAUUGCACAAUGGAGGAAACUCUGAUGCAGCGACGCCGCGUGAGUGAAGAAGUAUUUCGGUAUGUAAAGCUCUAUCAGCAGGGAAGAUAAUGACAGUACCUGACUAAGAAGCCCCGGCUAACUACGUG